CGGGUUAACUUAUCAGUUUAACACAUAUAUGACGUGUUUGAUAAAAUACCUAAAGAUCAGAUAGGGUGCUAUCAAAGUAAAUGGCAACUUUCCAACAAAAAGAGGACAAAAAAUUAACUGUGUUUAUUUUCAGAUAUAAAUUUUGAUGAAUCAUAUUAUCAAUCAUUUAUAGAGUUGUUAUAUGGUGCUAUGAGAAUGCAACAUAUAGGAAUAGCAGACAUUGAUGACACUGAUAGAAUGCAAUUUUUACUAGAUGGCCUCUUCAUAACAAAAAGAUAAAUCUGCUAUUUUUGAUUUCAGGCGACAACAGAAAGUGGGAGAGUCCUCUUCUACCUUUUAUUCCUUACCCAACAUCCUGCCAUUCAGAUCGGCCCCUUCCCAGCACUCCGAUUAAACCCCUCAGGCUGGGCCAGAGGUUACAUUUAGGCAUGACCAUGGCAGACCCUGACACUGGGGUUCCAGUGCCUACUUUGGCUAUGACCAUUCACCCACAAACUGGAUCAGUAUACCCACUGGGAAGGCUGCAUGUCUGCCCACUCACUCGCAUGCCACAACCCAUUCAGAUAGGCUAUCCCAUGCUGGACUCCAGGACUGGGAACAUUGUACUUACUGUUGGGGUGACUUUGGAUUCAGUAACAGGAGAUGUGCUGCCAGUAGGUGGAGUGAUGCUGGCUGAGUCCUUCUCUGAACCUCUGAGUGGGCGGAUGGUGAGAGUCGGGGGGGCCAGCAUGAGAGCUGGACAUGUGGUGCCGACCACAGGAGGAUACCAAAAUCUCCUGGAUACCAAGGUUUUGGCAGAAAUGUUGAAGGUUUUGGAUCACCUGAGGCCUUUAAUUGAGGAGUCUGCUUUUGAUCCAACUGCACCACUUCCACAAGCCUAUUCAGGCAAUGAGAAAGAAACCAGUCAACAAGAUCUUCUUGCAGCUGCUGCCAAAGAUAUGGAGCAAGCCUGGGGGAGGAGCCUGCAUUGUCAGCUGCAGUUUCAGACCAGGCUGGAGAUGCUUCUAGAGAGCGCUAUUGGUCUUCAGCAGGAUGGAGGGGCUCUUGGUAUGACAAAGAUUGAGAGCUGUGAUAGAGUUUUCCAUUGCUUAAAAAAAACAAUCUGGUACCAUUUCUACACAUUUGCUUCCAUAUCACUUUUAUAA
Molecule: long non-coding RNA, 1145 nt
Filed under: Oryzias sinensis (Chinese medaka)
Lineage: Eukaryota; Metazoa; Chordata; Actinopteri; Beloniformes; Adrianichthyidae
Description: lncRNA (ENSOSIG00000018497.1)
Source: RNAcentral